GACAGAGGAGGCAAGCGUUGUUCGGGAUCAUUAGGCUUAAAGCGCGCGUAGGCGGCCUUGUAAGUGUCUUGUGAAAUCCCACGGCUCACCCGUGGAACUGCAGGGCAAACUGCAAGACUUGAGGUCGAUAGAGGCGCCUGGAACUCUAGGUGGAGCGGUGAAAUGCGUAGAUAUCUAGGGGAACGCCGGAGGCGAAAGCGGGGCGCUGGGCCGAUUCUGACGCUGAUGCGCGAAAGCGUGGGGAGCAAACAGG
This 253-nucleotide ribosomal RNA is filed under the name uncultured bacterium. RNAcentral describes it as "partial 16S ribosomal RNA". It matches the Rfam family "Bacterial small subunit ribosomal RNA", at positions 524 to 776 of the family's 1533-position model. The record is from RNAcentral.